UGAGAUGUAGCUCAGUUGAUAGAGUGCUUGCCUAGCAUGCAUGGAGCCCUGGGUUCGAUUCCCAGAGCUACAU
RNAcentral lists this transfer RNA (73 nucleotides) under Mesocricetus auratus (golden hamster). It matches the Rfam family "tRNA". Rfam says of the family: Transfer RNA (tRNA) molecules are approximately 80 nucleotides in length. Their secondary structure includes four short double-helical elements and three loops (D, anti-codon, and T loops). The record is from Rfam by way of RNAcentral. Lineage: Eukaryota; Metazoa; Chordata; Mammalia; Rodentia; Cricetidae.